RNAcentral lists this transfer RNA (85 nucleotides) under Felis catus (domestic cat). It matches the Rfam family "tRNA". Rfam says of the family: Transfer RNA (tRNA) molecules are approximately 80 nucleotides in length. Their secondary structure includes four short double-helical elements and three loops (D, anti-codon, and T loops). Lineage: Eukaryota; Metazoa; Chordata; Mammalia; Carnivora; Felidae. The record is from Rfam by way of RNAcentral.
GCCUGGGUGGCUCAGUUGGUUAAGCGGCCGACUUCGGCUCAGAUCAUGAUCUUGCGGUCUGUGAGUUCGAGCCCCACCUCGGGCU